GACGAACCGUGCGAACGUUGUUCGGAUUCACUGGGCUUAAAGGGCGCGUAGGCGGCUUGCCAAGUCAGGGGUGAAAUCUUUCGGCUCAACCGGAAAAGUGCCUUUGAUACUGGCGAGCUAGAGGGAGGUAGGGGUGCGUGGAACUUCUGGUGGAGCGGUGAAAUGCGUAGAUAUCAGAAGGAACGCCGGUGGCGAAAGCGACGCACUGGAUCUCUACUGACGCUGAGGCGCGAAAGCUAGGGGAGCGAACGGG
RNAcentral lists this ribosomal RNA (253 nucleotides) under uncultured bacterium. RNAcentral's name for it is "partial 16S ribosomal RNA". It matches the Rfam family "Bacterial small subunit ribosomal RNA", at positions 524 to 776 of the family's 1533-position model. The record is from RNAcentral.